UACGUAGGACCCGAGCGUUGUCCGGAUUUAUUGGGCGUAAAGCGAGCGCAGGUGGUUUAUUAAGUCUGGUGUAAAAGGCAGUGGCUCAACCAUUGUAUGCAUUGGAAACUGGUAGACUUGAGUGCAGGAGAGGAGAGUGGAAUUCCAUGUGUAGCGGUGAAAUGCGUAGAUAUAUGGAGGAACACCGGUGGCGAAAGCGGCUCUCUGGCCUGUAACUGACACUGAGGCUCGAAAGCGUUGGGAGCAAACAGG
Molecule: ribosomal RNA, 252 nt
Filed under: uncultured bacterium
Lineage: Bacteria
Description: partial 16S ribosomal RNA
Rfam family: Bacterial small subunit ribosomal RNA
Source: RNAcentral